Talpa occidentalis (Iberian mole) is the source of this 245-nucleotide long non-coding RNA. RefSeq lists it as uncharacterized. NCBI's taxonomy places the organism in Eukaryota, Metazoa, Chordata, Mammalia, Eulipotyphla, Talpidae. The record is from RefSeq and is a predicted model, not a curated record. The transcript is spliced from 3 exons.
GGGCCUGCCACCGGCCUUCUCCCUCUCUCUGGGGCUCCGCUGGUUGUGGCUCACGAGGGCCCGGGGUUCGGGACUGGCCUUCAGAAGGUAGCAAGGACACUGCGGCCUUCGCCUCCUCCCCCGGGAGGCCGCGGUAGCUCCAGAUAACAGUUUUAGACAGACCUUGUUCUUUUGGACUUGAUAGUCUCAUGUAAGAGAAACUUUAAGGUGGAGACAUUCUCUGCAAAAAUCCCGGAAAAAAAUUG